This 406-nucleotide ribosomal RNA is filed under the name uncultured bacterium. RNAcentral's name for it is "partial 16S ribosomal RNA". It matches the Rfam family "Bacterial small subunit ribosomal RNA", at positions 29 to 526 of the family's 1533-position model. The record is from RNAcentral.
AUUGAACGCUGGCGGCAGGCCUAACACAUGCAAGUCGAGCGAGCGGCGGACGGGUGAGUAAUGGCUGGGAAACUGCCGGAUGGCGGGGGAUAACUACUGGAAACGGUAGCUAAUACCGCAUCACAUCAGCUGUGCCCAGAUGGGAUUAGCUGGUAGGUGGGGGAACGGCUCACCUAGUGGACGAUCCCUAGCGGGUCUGAGAGGAUGACCAGCCACACUGGAACUGAGACACGGUCCAGACUCCUACGGGAGGCAGCAGUGGGGAAUAUUGCACAAUGGGCGAAAGCCUGAUGCAGCCAUGCCGCGUGUGUGAAGAAGGCCUUCGGGUUGUAAAGCACUUUCAGCGGGGAGGCGUUACCCGCAGAAGAAGCACCGGCUAACUCCGUGCCAGCCGCCGCGGUAAUAC